This 462-nucleotide ribosomal RNA is filed under the name uncultured bacterium. Its description in RNAcentral is "partial 16S ribosomal RNA". It matches the Rfam family "Bacterial small subunit ribosomal RNA", at positions 28 to 507 of the family's 1533-position model. The record is from RNAcentral.
GAUGAACGCUGACAGCAUGCUUAACACAUGCAAGUCUUUGGCGAAGCUGUGCUUGCACAGCCUAGCCAAGGCGGACGGGUGAGUAACGCGUAAGGAACUUGCCCUGCAGUCAGGGAUAACAGACGGAAACGACUGAUAAGACCUGGUAAAGUCAGGCGGACUCAUGUCCAGCCUGAUGAAAAGAGAUGCUGCAGGAGAGCCUUGCGUCCUAUUAGCUUGUUGGUGGGGUAACGGCCCACCAAGGCGAUGAUAGGUAGCCGGCCUGAGAGGGUGGACGGCCACAAGGGGACUGAGAUACGGCCCUUACUCCUACGGGAGGCAGCAGUGGGGAAUAUUGGACAAUGGGGGCAACCCUGAUCCAGCAAUUCUGUGUGCACGAUGAAGGUUUUCGGAUUGUAAAGUGCUUUCAGCAGGGAAGAAAAAAUGACGGUACCUGCAGAAGAAGCGACGGCUAAAUACGUG